This 497-nucleotide ribosomal RNA is filed under the name uncultured bacterium. Its description in RNAcentral is "partial 16S ribosomal RNA". It matches the Rfam family "Bacterial small subunit ribosomal RNA", at positions 28 to 507 of the family's 1533-position model. The record is from RNAcentral.
GAUGAACGCUGGCGGCGUGCCUAAUACAUGCAAGUCGAGCGAACAGACGAGGCGCUUGCUCCUCUGACGUUAGCGGCGGACGGGUGAGUAACGCGUGGAUAACCUACCUAUAAGACUGGGAUAACUUCGGGAAACCGGCGCUUAUACCGGAUAAUAUAUUGCACCGCAUGGUUCAAUAGUGAGAGACGGUUUUGCUGUCACUUAUAGCUGGAUCGGCACCGCAUUAGCUAGUUGGUAAGGUAACGGCUUACCAAGGCGACGAUGCGUAGCCGACCCGAGAGGGUGAUCGGCCACACUGGAACUGAGACACGGUCCAGAGUCCUACGGGAGGCAGCAGUAGGGAAUCUUCCGCAAUGGGCGAAAGCCUGACGGAGCAACGCCGCGUGAGUGAUGAAGGUCUUCGGAUCGUAAAACUCUGUUAUGAGGGAAGAACAAAUGUGUAAGUAACUAUGCACGUCUUGACGGUACCUAAUCAAAAAGCCACGGCUAACUACGUG